AACGAACGCUGGCGGCAUGCCUAACACAUGCAAGUCGAACGAGACCUUCGGGUCUAGUGGCGCACGGGUGCGUAACGCGUGGGAACCUGCCCUUAGGUUCGGAAUAACUCCCCGAAAGGGGUGCUAAUACCGGAUAAUGUCUUCGGACCAAAGAUUUAUCGCCUUUGGAUGGGCCCGCGUUGGAUUAGCUAGUUGGUAGGGUAAAAGCCUACCAAGGCGACGAUCCAUAGCUGGUCUGAGAGGAUGAUCAGCCACACUGGGACUGAGACACGGCCCAGACUCCUACGGGAGGCAGCAGUGGGGAAUAUUGGACGAUGGGCGAAAGCCUGAUCCAGCAGUGCCGCGUGAGUGAUGAAGGCCUUAGGGUUGUAAAGCUCUUUUACCCGGGAUGAUAAUGACAGUACCGGGAGAAUAAGCACCGGCUAACUCCGUG
This 433-nucleotide ribosomal RNA is filed under the name uncultured bacterium. RNAcentral describes it as "partial 16S ribosomal RNA". It matches the Rfam family "Bacterial small subunit ribosomal RNA", at positions 29 to 507 of the family's 1533-position model. The record is from RNAcentral.